GACGAACGCUGGCGGCGUGCCUAAUACAUGCAAGUCGAACGAAGAGGGACUUGAAUUUUUGCAAGGCGAGGUUGGGUGCGGACGGGUGAGUAACACGUUGAGUACCUAGCCUUAAGCGGGGGGUAACCAUUAGGAAAGAUUACUAAUACCGCGAAGAAUUGCAGCUGUCGUGUGCAGUGAAGGGGAGAGGUCUUGGGCUGGCAGGUGAGGGUGGCUCGGCGGUGCAUUAGCUUGGUGGUGGGGUAGAGGCCUACGACGGCAAUGAUGAAUAGCCGCCCGGGGAGGGUGAUCGGCCACCUUGGGACGAGGAAACGGCCCACCCUCCUCCGGGAGGAAGCAGUAGGGAAUAUUACGCAAUGGAGGGAAGUAUGACGGAGCAACGCCGCGGGUGGGAAGAAGGUCUUCGGCUCGUAAAGCACUGUUGUUAGAGAAGAACGACCGGUAGAGUAACUGUUACCGGAGUGACGGUAUCUAACCAGAAAGCGACGGCUAACUACGUG
RNAcentral lists this ribosomal RNA (500 nucleotides) under uncultured bacterium. Its description in RNAcentral is "partial 16S ribosomal RNA". It matches the Rfam family "Bacterial small subunit ribosomal RNA", at positions 28 to 507 of the family's 1533-position model. The record is from RNAcentral.